Molecule: ribosomal RNA, 98 nt
Organism: Cavia porcellus (domestic guinea pig)
Lineage: Eukaryota; Metazoa; Chordata; Mammalia; Rodentia; Caviidae
Source: Ensembl
GUCUAGGGCCAUAUCACCGUGAAAGCACCUGACCUCAUCUGAUCUCGGAAGCUAAGCAGGGUCGGGCCUGGUUCAUACUUGGAUGGGAGACCUUGACU